RNAcentral lists this transfer RNA (60 nucleotides) under Danio rerio (zebrafish). It matches the Rfam family "tRNA", at positions 7 to 64 of the family's 71-position model. From Rfam's summary of the family: Transfer RNA (tRNA) molecules are approximately 80 nucleotides in length. Lineage: Eukaryota; Metazoa; Chordata; Actinopteri; Cypriniformes; Danionidae. The record is from Rfam by way of RNAcentral.
AUGGCCUAAUGGUUAGGGAGUUAGACUCAAAAUCCAAAGGUUGCAGGUUCGAUUCCUGGU